Molecule: non-coding RNA, 1345 nt
Filed under: Leptodontidium elatius var. ovalisporum
Lineage: Eukaryota; Fungi; Ascomycota; Leotiomycetes; Helotiales; Leptodontidiaceae
Description: LSU rRNA
Rfam family: Eukaryotic large subunit ribosomal RNA
Source: RNAcentral
AUGCCUCAGUAACGGCGAGUGAAGCGGCAACAGCUCAAAUUUGAAAUCUGGCUCUUUUAGGGUCCGAGUUGUAAUUUGUAGAAGAUGCUUCGGGUGUGGCUCCGGUCUAAGUUCCUUGGAACAGGACGUCAUAGAGGGUGAGAAUCCCGUAUGUGACUGGUUGCCUUCGCCCAUGUGAAGCUCUUUCAACGAGUCGAGUUGUUUGGGAAUGCAGCUCAAAAUGGGUGGUAAAUUUCAUCUAAAGCUAAAUAUUGGCCAGAGACCGAUAGCGCACAAGUAGAGUGAUCGAAAGAUGAAAAGCACUUUGGAAAGAGAGUUAAACAGUACGUGAAAUUGUUGAAAGGGAAAGCGCUUGCAACCCAGACUUGCAUGCGGUCGAUCAUCCCGGUGUUCUCACCGGUGCACUCGAUCGUAUUCAGGCCAGCAUCGGUUUCGGUGGUUGGAUAAAGGCCCUUGGGAAUGUAGCUUCUUUCGGGGAGUGUUAUAGCCCAAGGUGCAAUGCAGCCUACCGGGACCGAGGACCGCGCUUCGGCUAGGAUGCUGGCGUAAUGGUUGUAAGCGACCCGUCUUGAAACACGGACCAAGGAGUCUAACAUCUAUGCGAGUGUUUGGGUGUCAAACCCAUACGCGUAAUGAAAGUGAACGGAGGUGAGAACCCUUAAGGGUGCAUCAUCGACCGAUCCUGAUGUCUUCGGAUGGAUUUGAGUAAGAGCAUAGCUGUUGGGACCCGAAAGAUGGUGAACUAUGCCUGAAUAGGGUGAAGCCAGAGGAAACUCUGGUGGAGGCUCGCAGCGGUUCUGACGUGCAAAUCGAUCGUCAAAUUUGGGUAUAGGGGCGAAAGACUAAUCGAACCAUUUGCUCCACGCUAGGUGGUUAAGAGGAUGCUAAAAGGGCAUUCUAGUCCUGGUCUAGGGCAACACUAUCAAAUUGUUCGGGGACGUCCUGUUGACUUCUAAACUACCGCAGCCUCUUCGAAAGGAAGGUGCGCACCAGGGUAAUGACCUCGGGUAUGGUAAUAACGUUUAGAUAGGGAUAAUCCGCAGCCAAGUCCUAAGGGUUUAACGCCUAUGGAUGCAGUUCACAGACUAAAUGGUAGUGGGUCCAGUAUAGUUACUGGGCUUAAGAUAUAGUCGAUCCGCUGGGAGACCAGAGCGGCACGGAGGAUUACAUAGAUAAGACCAUCAUUAUUAUGAUUUCUAUGUAUGAGAGCCUGUCGGAGACGUCCGGUAGCGGGGUACCUGACGUCUUGGAGAGAGUUUAGGCCAUCGCCAGCAGCGUCGUGAUGUCGAUCGAGGGGCCAGCAGGGCCGUCGAUUCGGGGUGCGGCGUCGGCGAGUACGCUCUCA